Dromaius novaehollandiae (emu) is the source of this 526-nucleotide long non-coding RNA. RefSeq lists it as uncharacterized. The record is from RefSeq and is a predicted model, not a curated record. NCBI's taxonomy places the organism in Eukaryota, Metazoa, Chordata, Aves, Casuariiformes, Dromaiidae. The transcript has 3 exons.
CAUCAGUCAAAGGGAAUGCAGUUUGUCUGUGUUUUGGCUUAGACUGGCAAAGAGGAAAUUAAAUUCUUCAUAGGAUUAUUAAACCAUCCUAAAAAAAAUGGAACAUUUAAGUGAGAAUAGGAAAAACAUGAAGCAGAAGAGGAAGACAAAUGAGAAAGGCAUGCAUGCAAAACUAAACCCAACAGCCAUUAUUAGGUGACUUCUCACAUCUGGGUUUCGGGAGAAGCAGAAAGCUGAUGAGCCAAUUGACCAUAGGGAUUGCCUAUACGGAUGUUUUAAAGAUGUUGGCAAGAAUGAAGUAAAUCACCUCUUGAGGCUUUGAAGAAAGAGGAAAUUCCGGAAAUCUGAGUGAAUAGGAGUCAGACAUAGCAGUUAAUUCAAGAGGAAUCCAUUUGAAUUAAAAAUAUGAAGAAACCCAAAUGGUGGAUGUUUUUGGAUGUAGUUAAAAACAAAACAAUGUUGGAAACACAGGCUUGAUUUGCCUUUCAUUAUUUAAAAAUAAAAAUUGCCCAACUUUUUUUUUCAA